Manis pentadactyla (Chinese pangolin) is the source of this 1885-nucleotide long non-coding RNA. RefSeq lists it as uncharacterized. The transcript is spliced from 2 exons. The record is from RefSeq and is a predicted model, not a curated record. NCBI's taxonomy places the organism in Eukaryota, Metazoa, Chordata, Mammalia, Pholidota, Manidae.
AGGCAGAGGGCAGGGGUGCAGCAGACAGAAGCCCGAGGCCAGGGUGGCGGGGACGGAGGCUCAGCCAGGGCCAGACUGUCCGGGAGCUCCUGCGGGGUCACCAGGCCAUCGGCAUCCAACUCAGAUCCAGGGACUUCCACGGUCCGCGACACCCACACUCCGCUGAGCUCGGCGCUGCCUCACAGACAUUCAUUCAAGGAUUAAAGCCCCGUUAAAGACUAGCUGGUUGCUGAUACUUACAAAUCAUUUUUGUAUUAAAAAGAUUUAACAGUUACAGGACUGAGGUCCAGGAAGCUGUGGGCACGGCAGGGCAGAGGCUGGGGCGGGGUGGCCCCACCGCCUGCGGCGAGGCCUGGGGCCCCCUCCCCUGCCUGCCCGUGUGCGCCGUGGUCAGCUCUGCCGGCCGCAGGGAGUUGGAACGGGGUUGGGACAAGCUGGCUGAGGAGGCUGUGUGUGAAGGUAGCGGCCUGCGUGCGUCCCACACGCAUUCCCUUCCAUCGUUUCAGAAUUUCCCAGCGCGUGCUGGGGAUGCGUCCUACUGCGCGGGCUAGACAAGGGCCACGGUGCUGGGGCCCCAGCUGAUGCUGGGUCAUGGGGUCGAUAAAAGCUUCGGUUUAUCUCCAAAGACCCUGAGCUUUUCACUCUCUCCCUUCCUGUCCCCCUCCUGCUCCCUGCUGUUAGUAAGGCAUCUGGAGACCUAGGCGCCCAGCCUCUGGGGCCUGGGUCAGCCUCCUGCACAGUGCAGCUGUCUGCUGUGGGCCCGCCGUGUGUGCCGCACGCCUCCCGCGUCCACACGCUCUGAGGAGACAGGCCCUGCGUCAGCAGGCAUCGCCUUGGGAUACGGGAGGGUGGUCAGGACACUUCCUGGCUGUCAAUACGUUGUGGCUCCUUUUGUAAUGAGAACAUGGGGCUUUAACAAUAUGGGAUGGGGGGUCAGUUUCAUUUUUAAAUCUGCUUUUGCUCUCAAGUUUUGGUGAUAGUCUCAUGAUCUUUCUAAUCAUUUAUGUGAAUGCUUCCAACCUCCAAUUCAUCUUUUCUAGAGUCCAUUCCUUUGGCUUUACUGUGAUUUAUUUGUCCAAUGCACAUUUUUGGAUGCUUACUGGCUUCAGCUUUCCAACAGGAAGUGCGCCAGGCAGCAAGCGCCACGGGGAUGCUCCGCACCCACACGCACGGCUGCAGUUAAAGACAGCAACUGUGGGUGCUGGGAGGGCAGGGAGAAACCAGAGCUCUCGUUCCCAGCUGGUGGGCGGCGCAGAUACUCGGGAAGCAGUUGGCAGUUCCCCAAGAGACUAAGCACAGAGUCACCGUCACACCCAGCGAUCCCAGUCUUAGACACACGCCCAAGAGAGAUGAAAACACGCGUCCAAAGAGAAACUUGCAAACAAGUGUUCAUGGCAGCAUCAGUCACUACAGCCAGAAGGUGGAGACAAGCAAAAUACCCACCAACAGAUGAUAGAUCAACAAAACAGCGAAUCUGCAUGGUGGAAUAUUACUCAGCCAUAAAAAGGAUUGAAUUAUUGACACAGGCCAUGAUACAGAUGAACCCGGAAGACGAUAUGCCAAGAAAGAAGCUGGCUGCAGAAGUUGACAUGUGAGAUUCUGUUCCUGCAGAAAGUCCAGAAAAGCGCGCGGCUGAGCGGGCCUGCUGCCUCCUUCACUGCGGCCGGCUUUCCAGGAGAACUGGUGUUCCGGCGCUCUUGGCAGGAGGGGAGCGACAGACACAGGCCUGCCGGGCACCCUCACCCGGGCGGAGGCUCCGCAGAGCACGGGCGGCCCCCCCGCCGCUCCCUCUUGUCAGCUUCCGUUUGACAUCUUGUCUUUAUCCAAUUUUACCUUCAAGGGGAAAAUGUGCUUGUUGAAAAUGAUUACUGUGAAUUCUGCAUGU